ACCUACCUUUAACUGGGGCAUAGCUCGAGGAAACUCGAAUUAAUUCCCCAUAGUACAUUAUAAUAUCUCAUGAUAUAAAUGUUAAAGAUUUAUCGGUUAAAGAUGGGCAUGCGUCUGAUUAGUUUGUUGGUAAGGUAACGGCUUACCAAGACUACGAUCAGUAGGGGGUCUGAGAGGAUGAUCCCCCACACUGGUACUGAGACACGGACCAGACAUCUACGGAUGGCAGCAGUAAGGAAUAUUGGGCAAUGGGCGCAAGCCUGACCCAGCCAUGCCGCGUGCAGGAUGACGACCCUAUGGGUUGUAAACUGCUUUUAUAUAGGAAGAAAAUACUCUUGCGAGAGGAUCUGACGGUACUAUAUGAAUAAGGACCGGCUAACUCCGUGCCAGCAGCCGCGGUAAUACGGAGGGUUCAAGCGUUUUCCGGAUUUAUUGGGUUUAAAGAGUGCGUAGGUGGUUUAUUAAGUCAGUGGUGAAAUCCUGCAGCUCAACUGUAGAACUGCCAUUGAUACUGGUAAACUUGAGUUUGGUUUACGUAAGCGGAAUUUAUGAUGUAGCGGUGAAAUGCAU
Molecule: ribosomal RNA, 570 nt
Filed under: uncultured marine bacterium
Lineage: Bacteria
Description: bacterial SSU rRNA
Rfam family: Bacterial small subunit ribosomal RNA
Source: RNAcentral